GAUGAACGCCGGCGGCGUGCCUAAUACAUGCAAGUCGAGCGAACGGACGAGAAGCUUGCUUCUCUGAUGUUAGCGGCGGACGGGUGAGUAACACGUGGAUAACCUACCUAUAAGACUGGGAUAACUUCGGGAAACCGGAGCUAAUACCGGAUGAUAUUUUGAACCGCAUGGUUCAAAAGUGAAAGACGGUCUUGCUGUCACUUAUAGAUGGAUCCGCGCUGCAUUAGCUAGUUGGUAAGGUAACGGCUUACCAAGGCAACGAUGCAUAGCCGACCUGAGAGGGUGAUCGGCCACACUGGAACUGAGGCACGGUCCAGACUCCUACGGGAGGCAGCAGUAGGGAAUCUUCCGCAAUGGGCGAAAGCCUGACGGAGCAACGCCGCGUGAGUGAUGAAGGUCUUCGGAUCGUAAAACUCUGUUAUUAGGGAAGAACAUAUGUGUAAGUAACUGUGCACAUCUUGACGGUACCUAAUCAGAAAGCCACGGCUAACUACGUG
This 497-nucleotide ribosomal RNA is filed under the name uncultured bacterium. RNAcentral's name for it is "partial 16S ribosomal RNA". It matches the Rfam family "Bacterial small subunit ribosomal RNA", at positions 28 to 507 of the family's 1533-position model. The record is from RNAcentral.